GGCAGCCCUAGCCUCAGUCCACAGCCGCCAUGCCCUCACUCCUCCUCGCCGCCACACUCCCUUCCUCCUCCUCCUCCUCCUCCUCCUCCUCGCUGCCACACUCCCUCCCUCCUCCUACCUACUCACCAUAGCCUGCCAUAAGCGGCUCCCUCCUCACCAUGGCCCCGCCAUAGGCAGCUCAAGCGAUGGUGGAACGGACGGCAGCCUCAGCGUGUGGGCGGCGGCGGCCCGUCUGGUGAACGAGCCCGCACCUCCCUGCCCUCCUCAUCACCCUUCCCUCCUCGGCUUAAUGGGAGGUUCGCGGGGCACCUCUCAGGCUGCUGCUGCCUCUUCCGCCCAGCAGGACGAGCACAAGGUACACAUGAAUCUACGAUCCAGAUUCUAGCUACAUCCUUUACUACAACAAUCUCAGUCUAUACUGAAAAGUGUACUGCUUAUAUAGCUGAUAUCUUUAAUUCAUAUGGUCGUCCGCUGGAUGCUGACUGGUCUUUGGUUCAUAUGGUCACUGGCUAGAAGCUUGCUGCUAUGUUUGGUUCAUAUGGUCGUCGACUGGAAGCUCGCGCUCUGAAUGAUCUCAUUCUCUAUGGCCGGCAAUACACACUUCUCAUUACUACCAGCCGGGUCUUCUCAGAGUGAUUGAAUAAAUUCCAUUCCUUCAUGCUGCAACCUUCCAUGAUUUUUGCUCAAAAUGGCAUAAUAUGCCACUUGCGCCACCAUUGAUCUUUGAAAUUUAGUUACUCCAGUUUUUCGUAGAUAACAAUUGUGUAGUCUUUGUCCUUUCCACUUACCAUUACCAUUUUUGUGAUGAUACUUCACUAGAAAUUUGUUUGGUACUCCUCAUCUAAAAUAUAUUCAGAACGAGUUCACUUUUGCAAUGCAUGGGAGUUUAGUUUUUGUUGCAUGCGCAGUUAUAUAUGUUUAGUCAUUUGUAUUGAGAGGUCAGUGCGUCUUGGUUGUUUCUGUUGUUGAUCCAGGAGGUUCUUGGUUGCUUGGUGUUUUUGCUACACGUGCAGUACUAUAAUAUGCUAACCCAUAUAACGAUGAAGUAUAUUCUGUUUCGUAGAUGAGCAAAGUUUGCUGCAUGCAUAGUAUAUAUAUGUUUUCUUACAAAUAUAUGUAUGCCAUUAACUGCUAUCAUUGUGUUUUACAGGGGUUCAUGGGCCAUCAUGAUGAUAUACUUAAUUCUUUAAACAAGAAUGGUAAGAACUAAGGAGGGUUGUCUUGUCCAAGAGCUCUGCCGCGAUGGCAUCGCCACUCAGUGAUGCCUAAGCAGGAAGGCCAAUCGCGGGGAGGUGCGACAUGGGUGGCCUAAAGAGCUAAUUUGGUGCCCUCUCUCUUUGCCUCUUGUUUCCUCCGGCACCCAGAUUUUGAUGGCUAAUAUAUUGACUUCCUAAACAUCUUUAAUUUAUAAGUAAUGUAGUAGUUAUAUGCUUUUCAUUUAUGAUAGAGAGAUUGAAUCAGGGUGUUUUGCUUGCUGCUUUGUAGGAAAAUGUACCCUGUUGCAGUUCCUCUGUCUUCACGAAUUACUAUCCAACUUUUAAGUCUGUUCUAAACUCUCAGCCCCAUGUAAAUCUGAUGGAAGAUUGGGCCGUUUAAUUUGGAACAAAAAGGGUAAUAUGCUCUCAGUUGCUUGAAUCUGUCCAGACCUGAAAAAUAGAUAUACUUUGAAAGCUUGGUAUAUGAGUAUGUAACUGAAGGAGAAGACAUUUCUUGUUCUUGGUCGUCGUAGUUUUUGUUUAUUCCAUUAAAAAGAGAUGGAUUACAGUUACUUGACACGCACACCCACACCCGGGCGCAAGGUCUGUUAGUCCUUUAAAUUGAUUAUAUGACAUAAGAAGAGGCUGGAGCAUAGAUUGGGGUGACAUAAAUAUAUGAAUUGUUUAGAAAAUAACAAAUGGAACUCCCAGACACCGCCAUCUCUGCAUCCACCUUGCUCCGCAUAGCAGCAUGUGUGUGGAAGCGGGGACAGGCGAUCAUGAGCAGAUGGCGUCGACGGCAAUGGAAACAUGCACGGUACACGAAGUUCGAUAACAUGGACGCGGCCUCCCCAUAGGCGUUUUAGGAUGGUGUGUCCACCGGCUUGGAACGCGCCCGCCCGACGCACAGCAGGUAUGCCUCGCAGCACGCCAGUGGCAACGUGCACCGCGGGGCCCGGAAGCAGCCCAGCCAGUACAGAGCCCCUCCGUAUAGGAGGAACCCUGCCACCGUCGGAGCCAGCAACGGUGACGCGUAUGAGAGCUCGGCCAUGGUGGCCCGCGCGCCGAAUAGGAGGAUCAUGUCCGCGCUAGAGGGCAGCAACGAGAACAUCAGUGGCACAAGGAGGUGUGCAGGAUCUGCACCAACAGGCAACCACAUGCAAAUUUUGAGGAGCGACAUGAGCAUCAAGCAAUGGCUGAUGCCAAGGGGUUAUAGCAACGAAAAUGCUCAACGUACGGGCAGUUUUCACAUAAUCACUCCUACGGGCGGACCUGCCCCUCCCUAACUCGACCACCACCCCGUGCAUUUCAUGGUGGGGUCCGCCUACCCCUAAUCACUUCAUGCCAUCUCACCCU
Molecule: long non-coding RNA, 2552 nt
Organism: Triticum dicoccoides
Lineage: Eukaryota; Viridiplantae; Streptophyta; Magnoliopsida; Poales; Poaceae
Exons: 3
Source: RefSeq, a predicted model, not a curated record